AUGGAAUUAAGGAUGCCUCAUAUGCUUCAUCUUUUUAAUGUCUUUCGUGAAAACGAUGGAAAGGAAAAUUAUGCUCAAGUACUAGAAGAAGAAUUACAUAGAAUGCUUGGCAUAAAAUAUGUGAAUGAUGAGCAUGAUUGCAAUGUUGUUAGUAUGAAUUCCUUGAAUAUCCAUGAUGCUAAUGAUAUGCAAAGCCACAAGCUUGGGGAAGCUAUGUUUGAUGAAGAUGAUAUUUUUUGCCCCCCAAACUUUGAUGAGCAAAUUUACUAUGAUGAAAGCAUGCCUCCUAUCUAUGAUGAUUAUUGUGAUGACACGUAUGCUUUAAAGAAUAAUGAUAACCAUGAAACUUGUCAUCUUGAUCUUAAUUUUCAAUCACAUGAUAGUUAUUUUGUUGAGUUUGCUCCCACUAUUAUUGAUGAGAAGAAAAUUUGCUUAUGUGGAGAGUAA
This 447-nucleotide ribosomal RNA is filed under the name Triticum aestivum (bread wheat). RNAcentral describes it as "partial small subunit ribosomal RNA". Lineage: Eukaryota; Viridiplantae; Streptophyta; Magnoliopsida; Poales; Poaceae. The record is from RNAcentral.